Molecule: long non-coding RNA, 3237 nt
Organism: Hemicordylus capensis (graceful crag lizard)
Lineage: Eukaryota; Metazoa; Chordata; Lepidosauria; Squamata; Cordylidae
Exons: 3
Source: RefSeq, a predicted model, not a curated record
GAUGGAAGGCUGAGUCAACCUUGAGCCCCUGGUCAGGAUCGAACUUGUAACCUUCUGGUUACAGGGCGGCAGUUUUACCACUGCGCCACCAGGGGCUCCAUGUGAGAACCAUCUUAAGUGAGAACCAUAGGGAAAAGUCUCAGCGACAGGGUGCUGGUUGGUUGCCCAGCGUAUAAACACGAUGCAGCUUGAUUGGGGAUGACCCUAAAAAGGAUGAACAAUCCAUAUCACAGAAAUGGGAAGAAAAUUGCUCUCCCCCUCUGCUCUGAAUCUUAUGCUGAACAGGCACCAACAGGGGCAUUCAAACUGCAAGAGCAUUUCAGCUAAAAGGCUUCAGCAAAAAACCAGCAAAGGCCUCUCUCUUGCUUCUCUGUAAUAUAUAAAGUAGCAAAGCUUUUGCAAUCUAAUAUCCUGGAGGAAAGAGUUCUUGGGUCUUGAACAAACACAGUCUACACCAGUGUGCGCCACAAGAAGAGGCGGGAUAACACUGCAGGAUGCUUACAAGGAAAGUGCCUUAAACUGAACUCUCACUUGAGUUGACUUACAGAAAAGGCAACCCACAUUCUUCAAGGAAAGACUUUCCCAAUGGGAAGAAUCAUAAACUAUGGGUUACCUGCAUCAGAAAGGACAAGACUUUAUCACAGGGGCAUUUACGCAGAGAAUGUUAGCCUACGACUAACUCCCAUUUAAAUUAGUGACAUUUAAGUUAGACACACAACUAACCUGUCUAUCAGAUUUCAUCUUUAUAUGUUUUGAACAUUAUACAGUAUGAGUGCAUGUAAACAUACAUUUAAACUAUUGUCACUGAGGUCUGGAAGUAAAGGUAAAGUGUGCCGUCAAGUCGGUGUCAACUCCUGGUGACCACAGAGCCGGUGUCAACUCCUGGUGAACACAGAGCCAUCUGGUUUUCUCUGGUAGAAUACAGGAGGGGUUUACCAUUGCCAUCUCCUGUGCAGUAUGAGAGGAUGCCUUUCAGCAUUUUCCUAUCUUUCUGCUGCUCUCUAAGGUAGGAAACAUACCAGUGGGGGUUCAAACCAGCAACCUCUUGCUCCCUAGGCAAAUUACUUCCCCAUUGCACCAUUAGAUGGCUUUAGUCUGGAAGUACACUUACCAUAUUAUUAUCAGAUGUGUCUAUUCCUCUCCAGGGUGAGCUCAGGAAAACCAGAACUACUGGCUCACAGUAGAAGCUAGCUGUGCACAGUGUUGAUUGGCUGGUGAUUGUGAUGUCACAAUAAUACCUCUCUUCCACCCCCCUAAUCUAAGAGCAGUUUUACAACCUUUGAAAAUAUAAUCGUGCUUUUUUAAAGGCACUAAAUGAAUGUUGAAUAAAGAUACAUGCACUCCUUUGAAAAGGUUAAGAAAAAAGGGGGCCCAAGAACUCAACUGAAGUAUAGGGACAGGGGCAAGGUUGACAACUUGAACCUGCCUUGAAAAAUCAUUGAUAAGUCUUUUAUAUACAAAGCAAAGGCAAAAAGAAACUGGGCUCAUAACAUGGGAAAAAGAAAACACAGCAACUGGUGUUUUGAUCUACAUUUGUACACGUCUUAUUAAUACUUUUACAUAUGUUAAAUAAGAAUCCACUUUUUACAUAGUUAACGUCUUUAGCAAUAUGGAUAGUUGUUCUUCCUCACUGUUUUUCCCAAUCUUUUGCAACCAGUAGAUAACAUAAAAAUGACAGCAAUCAGACAAGCAAUAUGUGUGUACCUGUUUGUGUUGUAUUGUUUGUGUGUACAAACAAUAUGCGUUGUUUCCAGCACCUGCCACAACAUAAAAUUGUCCACAGAAUUACUAUUACACUAUUACACUUUAUAUAACAGCUGGUACUACAGUAAAAGUCAGUGUGCAUAGCCUUCAUCAGCUAAAAUAAUAAUUAUGUGCAGUAUUCAGUGUUGAGUAAAUGUUAGCUCUGUGCCCCCACAUGUAGAUGGUUUUUUGCUGGUUUCAGUUCCCUUACGUAAGGAAUCCACCCACCCAAACGUUUCUAACAUUUCCACCUCAAGUUCAAUAUUUCUGAAACGGGGAAUACUAAUGUAACACCUCCCAAUCACUAAUUUUCUCUAUCACUCAGCUAGCAGAAUACACUGCACUUGUGUUAGUCAACAGUGCAGUGCUUACUGUAGGUACAUGUCCAGAAAGUGCAAUGAAAAGAGAUUGCCCAAAAUAUAACUCAAUUUUUUCACUGAAGUAUAAAUCCUCAGGGUCUGCUCCAGGUUCCAGCAUCCUGGGGAAAAGCCCUGUGUUGGGCCCCCCUGCCCAACAUGGAGAAGGCGUAUGCAGAUUCACACUGCCCUUCUCAAUGGUACCCAGCUCAAUAAGUAGGAAAGCUAACUGGGUUCUUUCUUCAGUGCCAAAGCAAUGACAACACAGGAAAGCUAAAGGGGGAGCAUGUGGAUGUUCCUAUCUGAGUGCUGCCACUCUAGCUGUGGGUGACAGUGCUGAAGGAGAAGCAUAUGCUGCCACAGCUUACCAGAUGAUGAUGGGCAACUGAGAACACUCUUCUUAGUGAUAGACUGUGGCCACUGCUGAGUGGAGCAUCCACUGCCAGCACUGCCCCAUCACCCAGUAAACCAGGGCCCAUUGGACAGUGGUGGGCAGCACCAGAUAAUCCAGGGACUUCAGAAGUUGGCCAGGUGGACCCUUCAAUGGCUGUGGGUCUGUCAGAUAUAUUAGAAUGAAAUCACCCCUUAUUUGCAUUUGGUCAUUUGAUUCAACUCUGGCCUAGAAAAUUAUUUUCUUACCUGUUACCUUUUCACCUGAAAUUUCAUGCUUGUGUCUUUCUAUAUUGCUUGUAUUUUUUUUAAUAUAGUGACUAUCUAGUUCUCUGUUCCUCAGAUAUAAGUAUUAGUGAAGGAAUGUAUAACCACAUAAAAGGGAUUAAUUAUAUAUGAGUGGGAGUAACAAUAGAUCAAAGAAAGUUGUAAAUAAGAUUUUUCUGUUAAGAGAGGACCAGAUUGCUGAUGUAUUCCUCUUGUUAUGAUUUCCUGCUUGCUCAUGAAUAAUUUUAGAACUAAAAAGCAUAAACCCAAAUGGAGAAUCAGGUUGUCUCCUAAUAUCUCAAACUGUCUCUGGGCAGUUUGUGAGUACAGCAGUGGUAAGAUUUUUUAAUUAAGGCCACUCUGACAUUCUUUCAUAUAAAGCCUUCUGUAAUAAGUUCUUUUUUGAUGUCUUAUGCUUUGUCUAUGGUUUAUGUUCGGUAUAAGCUGUACUAGAAAUGAUAUUAAUAAACAAGUAUUUUCA